Molecule: unclassified non-coding RNA, 334 nt
Filed under: soil metagenome
Description: partial contains 5.8S ribosomal RNA, internal transcribed spacer 2, and large subunit ribosomal RNA
Rfam family: 5.8S ribosomal RNA (bases 1-120)
Source: RNAcentral
GAUGAAGAACGCAGCGAAAUGCGAUACGUAAUGUGAAUUGCAGAAUUCAGUGAAUCAUCGAAUCUUUGAACGCACAUUGCGCCUGCCAGCACUCUGGCAGGCAUGCCUGUUCGAGCGUCAUUUCAACCAUCAAGCCCUAGGCUUGCGUUGGAGCCCUGCGGCUGCCGCAGGCCCCUAAAAGCAGUGGCGGGCUCGCUAUCACACCGAGUGCAGUAGAUUACUCUUCGCUCAGGGCGUGCAGCGGGUUCCGGCCGUGAAACCCCCUACUUUUAAAGGUUGACCUCGGAUCAGGUAGGAAUACCCGCUGAACUUAAGCAUAUCAAUAAGCGGAGGA